CCUACGGGGGGCUGCAGUGGGGAAUAUUGGACAAUGGGGGGAACCCUGAUCCAGCCAUGCCGCGUGUGUGAAGAAGGCCCUCGGGUUGUAAAGCACUUUCAGUGAGGAAGAACGCCUGGUGGUUAAUACCCAUCAGGAAAGACAUCACUCACAGAAGAAGCACCGGCUAACUCCGUGCCAGCAGCCGCGGUAAUACGGAGGGUGCGAGCGUUAAUCGGAAUUACUGGGCGUAAAGCGCGCGUAGGUGGCUUGAUAAGCCGGUUGUGAAAGCCCCGGGCUCAACCUGGGAACGGCAUCCGGAACUGUCAAGCUAGAGUGCAGGAGAGGAAGGUAGAAUUCCCGGUGUAGCGGUGAAAUGCGUAGAGAUCGGGAGGAAUACCAGUGGCGAAGGAGGCCUUCUGGACUGACACUGACACUGAGGUGCGAAAGCGUGGGUAGCAAACAGGAUUAGAUACCCUUGUAGUC
RNAcentral lists this ribosomal RNA (465 nucleotides) under Vreelandella stevensii. Its description in RNAcentral is "partial 16S ribosomal RNA". It matches the Rfam family "Bacterial small subunit ribosomal RNA", at positions 338 to 795 of the family's 1533-position model. The record is from RNAcentral. Lineage: Bacteria; Pseudomonadati; Pseudomonadota; Gammaproteobacteria; Oceanospirillales; Halomonadaceae.